GCCGUCCUGGUGGAAUUGGUAGACACGCCAGAUUUAGGUUCUGGUGGGGUAACCUGUCCGAGUUCGAGUCUCGGGGACGGCACCA
This 85-nucleotide transfer RNA is filed under the name Gammaproteobacteria bacterium. RNAcentral's name for it is "tRNA-Leu". RNAcentral also lists the same sequence under 3 other names. Lineage: Bacteria; Pseudomonadati; Pseudomonadota; Gammaproteobacteria. The record is from RNAcentral.